Long non-coding RNA from Erigeron canadensis, 338 nucleotides. RefSeq lists it as uncharacterized. NCBI's taxonomy places the organism in Eukaryota, Viridiplantae, Streptophyta, Magnoliopsida, Asterales, Asteraceae. The transcript is spliced from 3 exons. The record is from RefSeq and is a predicted model, not a curated record.
AAUACCUUUCUAAAACGAUGUCAUUUCAUAUUACAACAAAAUUUUCACCAUGUAAGCUUCUACCCCUUCUUCCAUCUUCUCAAUUGUCACUGAAUCCACAUGUUGAUUUAAAUUGAAAAGAUACCAGGUUGUACCCGUCAUACAAAGGAACUUGGACAUGAUCAAUGAAGUUAAUGACAAUGGCAAAGAAGAUGGACAUGAAUGAGUAAUAGAAAGACGCAUUUAGUUCGGCUGAAUUUCAAGACAUUAUUAGUUAACUAGCUCAACUUAACAAUGUAAUAAACACUUAUGUACUUCAAUUUUUUUAAUAUUAGAGAUGAUUCAUUACUUUUUGCCUA